GUGGUGUUGCACCAAUAAUAUGGUGGAGUGCUUGAAUCCGUCAUCAGCGUCAACUAUCAAAGUUAGACACUGGUCACCAGUCAUGCACUGCCUCCCAUUCAGAACAUAGUGAGGAUAAGCAGGCCAGACACGAAGUCUGCGGCAGUGGCCAUGAGGGCGACGAUCGGGUGCCCAUGGUGCAGCGCCGAGCUACAGAACACUCCCACGACCUUGCCGCAUCCAGCGGAGAGGGAGCACCGGUAGCAGCUUGUAGGGAUAGACGUGCUCGUGGCCGGGGAUCACCCGGGAAAGCGUUGGUUGGAGGUGCCUGCCGCUUCAGUUGCUUAUAGGAAGGAAUGUACAUGACAAACUUGCUACCGCUGAAGAAUCAUAUGAAUCAACCUAUGUGUUUUCAAGACGUAUGAAACACACGAAAAGACUGAGCCUUCACGUGAAGUUUGCAG
Molecule: ribosomal RNA, 443 nt
Filed under: Triticum aestivum (bread wheat)
Lineage: Eukaryota; Viridiplantae; Streptophyta; Magnoliopsida; Poales; Poaceae
Description: partial small subunit ribosomal RNA
Source: RNAcentral